RNAcentral lists this non-coding RNA (245 nucleotides) under Lactobacillus acetotolerans. RNAcentral describes it as "T-box sequence". It matches the Rfam family "T-box leader". Rfam says of the family: Uncharged tRNA acts as the effector for transcription antitermination of genes in the T-box leader family. Lineage: Bacteria; Bacillati; Bacillota; Bacilli; Lactobacillales; Lactobacillaceae. The record is from RNAcentral.
UAAAAAGCAAUGAAAAAGAAGAGUAAAUAAUUUAAUUCUUUCAGUGAGUUAGUGGCAGUGUGAGACUAGCAGACCCUGAAUUAUUGAAAAACACUUUUAGCAGCUCGCCGAAAUAAGAGCAUUAGAGUAGGUCGAGACGUAUCCAGUACGUUACCAAGCUGGUAGAGCAUGUUUGUGCUUUAUUGAGUUGGCCUAGUUUCUAGGCAAUUUAGGUGGUACCGCGGAAAAAGCCUUUCGUCCUUAGC